GAACGCUGGCGGCGUGCUUAACACAUGCAAGUCGAACGGAAAGGCCCUGCUUUUGUGGGGUGCUCGAGUGGCGAACGGGUGAGUAACACGUGAGUAACCUGCCCUUGACUUUGGGAUAACUUCAGGAAACUGGGGCUAAUACCGGAUAGGAGCUCCUGCUGCAUGGUGGGGGUUGGAAAGUUUCGGCGGUUGGGGAUGGACUCGCGGCUUAUCAGCUUGUUGGUGGGGUAGUGGCUUACCAAGGCUUUGACGGGUAGCCGGCCUGAGAGGGUGACCGGCCACAUUGGGACUGAGAUACGGCCCAGACUCCUACGGGAGGCAGCAGUGGGGAAUAUUGCACAAUGGGCGGAAGCCUGAUGCAGCAACGCCGCGUGCGGGAUGACGGCCUUCGGGUUGUAAACCGCUUUCGCCUGUGGCGAAGCGUGAGUGACGGUAAUGGGUAAAGAAGCACCGGCUAACUACGUG
RNAcentral lists this ribosomal RNA (465 nucleotides) under uncultured bacterium. RNAcentral's name for it is "partial 16S ribosomal RNA". It matches the Rfam family "Bacterial small subunit ribosomal RNA", at positions 31 to 507 of the family's 1533-position model. The record is from RNAcentral.